UCGGAUUGCAGGCUGCAACCCGCCUGCAUGAAGUUGGAAUCGCUAGUAAUCGCGGAUCAGCAUGCCGCGGUGAAUACGUUCCCGGGCCUUGUACACACCGCCCGUCACACCAUGAGAGUCGGGAACACCCGAAGUCCGUAGCCUAACAGCAAUGGGGGCGCGGCCGAAGGUGGGUUCGAUAAUUGGGGUGAAGUCGUAACAAGGUACC
Molecule: ribosomal RNA, 208 nt
Filed under: uncultured bacterium
Lineage: Bacteria
Description: partial 16S ribosomal RNA
Rfam family: Bacterial small subunit ribosomal RNA
Source: RNAcentral